CCUACGGGUGGCAGCAGUGGGGAAUAUUGGACAAUGGGCGUAAGCCUGAUCCAGCCAUGCCGCGUGUGUGAAGAAGGCCUUCGGGUUGUAAAGCACUUUCAGUGGGGAAGAAAGCCUUGGGGCUAAUACCCUCGAGGAAGGACAUCACCCACAGAAGAAGCACCGGCUAACUCCGUGCCAGCAGCCGCGGUAAUACGGAGGGUGCGAGCGUUAAUCGGAAUUACUGGGCGUAAAGCGCGCGUAGGCGGUCUGAUAAGCCGGUUGUGAAAGCCCCGGGCUCAACCUGGGAACGGCAUCCGGAACUGUCAGGCUAGAGUGCAGGAGAGGAAGGUAGAAUUCCCGGUGUAGCGGUGAAAUGCGUAGAGAUCGGGAGGAAUACCAGUGGCGAAGGCGGCCUUCUGGACUGACACUGACGCUGAGGUGCGAAAGCGUGGGUAGCAAACAGGAUUAGAUACCCCUGUAGUC
This 465-nucleotide ribosomal RNA is filed under the name Vreelandella stevensii. RNAcentral describes it as "partial 16S ribosomal RNA". It matches the Rfam family "Bacterial small subunit ribosomal RNA", at positions 338 to 795 of the family's 1533-position model. The record is from RNAcentral. Lineage: Bacteria; Pseudomonadati; Pseudomonadota; Gammaproteobacteria; Oceanospirillales; Halomonadaceae.